GACGAACGCUGGCGGCGUGCUUAACACAUGCAAGUCGAACGGAAAGGCCCUGCUUUUGUGGGGUGCUCGAGUGGCGAACGGGUGAGUAACCCGUGAGUAACCUGCCCUUGACUUUGGGAUAACUUCAGGAAACUGGGGCUAAUACCGGAUAGGUGCUCCUACUGCAUGGUGGGGGUAGGAAAGUUACGGCGGUUGGGGAUGGACUCGCGGCUACUCACCUUGUUGGUGGGGUAGUGGCUUACCAAGGCUUUGACGGGUAGCCGGCCUGAGAGGGUGAACGGCCACAAUGGGACUGGGGUACGGCCCAUACUCCUACGGGGGGCAACAGGUGGGAAUAUUGCACAAUGGGCGGAAGCCUGAGACAGAGACGCCGCGUGCGGAAUAACGGCCUUCUAGGAAUAAACCGCUUUCGCAUGUGACAAGGCGUGAGUGACGGUAAUGGGUGAAGAAGCACCGGCUAACUACGUG
RNAcentral lists this ribosomal RNA (468 nucleotides) under uncultured bacterium. Its description in RNAcentral is "partial 16S ribosomal RNA". It matches the Rfam family "Bacterial small subunit ribosomal RNA", at positions 28 to 507 of the family's 1533-position model. The record is from RNAcentral.